RNAcentral lists this ribosomal RNA (446 nucleotides) under uncultured bacterium. RNAcentral describes it as "partial 16S ribosomal RNA". It matches the Rfam family "Bacterial small subunit ribosomal RNA", at positions 338 to 795 of the family's 1533-position model. The record is from RNAcentral.
CCUACGGGUGGCAGCAGUCGAGAAUCAUUCACAAUGGGGGAAACCCUGAUGGUGCGACGCCGCGUGGGGGAAUGAAGGUCUUCGGAUUGUAAACCCCUGUCAUGUGGGAGCAAAUUAAAAAGAUAGUACCACAAGAGGAAGAGACGGCUAACUCUGUCCCAGCAGCCGCGGGAAUACAGAGGUCUCAAGCGUUGUUCGGAAGCACUGGGCGUAAAGCGUGCGUAGGCUGUUUCGUAAGUCGUGUGUGAAAGGCGCGGGCUCAACCCGCGGACGGCAGAUGAUACUGCGAGACUAGAGUAAUGGAGGGGGAACCGGAAUGCUCGGUGUAGCAGUGAAAUGCGUAGAUAUCGAGAGGAACACUCGUGGCGAAGGCGGGUUCCUGGACAUUAACUGACGCUGAGGCACGAAGGCCAGGGGAGCGAAAGGGAUUAGAUACCCCAGUAGUC